CUUUUUCAUAUAUUUAACUAAUCGUCAAGUAAUAUUAGCUUUUUUCCAUUUGAAAGGAAUUUUGUAACUACUCACAAAAGUAAUUCACCUAUUUUAUUAUGCGUAUAAAGAUCUAAGCUCAUACUUAGUCGGGAAAAUGCAAAAACUUGAUUGUUCUAUGCUAAUGCACGUAUGAUUAGUUAUAUCUUGUAUAUAAUUCAACAUGUCAAUACUUCUCCCCAUGAAAGUAUUGUGCUAGAAACUAAAUCAAUGUAUCAAUAGAACUUACCAUUGUAGAUUAUUCUCUGAAGCAUUUCUUUUGGAGUAAUUUUUAACAACCUCCAAGAUACUUCCAAUUUUGCCCUCUUCAAAUUCUUCUUUAAGCUGAAAUGGAUGUACAAUGUAAAUUUGAUAACAUGGGGACACAACUUGUCAAUCAGGAUGUGAUAUUUGCACAAUUGCAUGGCAUGACUCUAGAAGCAAUUUGAACAUAGUUGUAUUUUCCCUCUAUAGCUAGCCUAAAUUAUAGAGAAUUGCUGAAAAUCAGCAUUGUAAUAGGAAAUGAUUACCUGUGAAUCUCUAUAUAAAGAGAAGAACACGUUCAAUGAAGAUCAUCAAUCAAAUUCCAAAAAGUUCCAUCAUCCUUGUCAUG
This 631-nucleotide long non-coding RNA is filed under the name Olea europaea subsp. europaea. The record is from RNAcentral. Lineage: Eukaryota; Viridiplantae; Streptophyta; Magnoliopsida; Lamiales; Oleaceae.